RNAcentral lists this transfer RNA (71 nucleotides) under Marmota monax (woodchuck). RNAcentral's name for it is "tRNA.Val". It matches the Rfam family "tRNA". From Rfam's summary of the family: Transfer RNA (tRNA) molecules are approximately 80 nucleotides in length. Their secondary structure includes four short double-helical elements and three loops (D, anti-codon, and T loops). Lineage: Eukaryota; Metazoa; Chordata; Mammalia; Rodentia; Sciuridae. The record is from RNAcentral.
GGGGUUGUGGCUCAGCGGUAGAGCGCUCGUCUCACAUGUGCGGGACCCUGGGUUCGAUCCUCAGCACCACG